CUACGGGACGCACCAGUCGAGAAUCUUCCGCAAUGGACGAAAGUCUGACGGAGCGACGCCGCGUGCGGGAUGAAGGCCUUCGGGUUGUAAACCGCUGUCAGUGGGGAGGAAAUGCAUCAGGGUUCUCCCUGGUGUUUGACCGAUCCGCAGAGGAAGCGCAGGCUAAGUUCGUGCCAGCAGCCGCGGUAACACGAACUGCGCGAACGUUAUUCGGAAUCACUGGGCUUAAAGAGUUCGUAGGCGGCCUUUCAAGUCGGGUGUGAAAUCCCUCGGCUCAACCGAGGAAUUGCGCCUGAUACUGUUGGGCUUGAGGGAGAUAGGGGUGAGCGGAACUGAUGGUGGAGCGGUGAAAUGCGUUGAUAUCAUCAGGAACACCGGUGGCGAAGGCGGCUCACUGGAUCUCCUCUGACGCUGAGGAACGAAAGCUAGGGGAGCGAACGGGAUUAGAUACCCUAGUAGUC
RNAcentral lists this ribosomal RNA (461 nucleotides) under uncultured bacterium. RNAcentral's name for it is "partial 16S ribosomal RNA". It matches the Rfam family "Bacterial small subunit ribosomal RNA", at positions 339 to 795 of the family's 1533-position model. The record is from RNAcentral.